RNAcentral lists this ribosomal RNA (433 nucleotides) under uncultured bacterium. RNAcentral describes it as "partial 16S ribosomal RNA". It matches the Rfam family "Bacterial small subunit ribosomal RNA", at positions 29 to 507 of the family's 1533-position model. The record is from RNAcentral.
AACGAACGCUGGCGGCAUGCCUAACACAUGCAAGUCGAACGAGACCUUCGGGUCUAGUGGCGCACGGGUGCGUAACGCGUUGGAACCUGCCCUUAGGUUCGGAAUAACUCCCCGAAAGGGGUGCUAAUACCGGAUAAUGUCUUCGGACCAAAGAUUUAUCGCGUUUGGAUGGGCCCGCGUUGGAUUAGCUAGUUGGUAGGGUAAAAGCCUACCAAGGCGACGAUCCAUAGCUGGUCUGAGAGGCUGAUCCGACACACUGGGACUGAGACACGGCCCAGACUCCUACGGGAGGCAGCAGUGGGGAAUAUUGGAAAAUGGGCGACAGCCUGAUCCAGCAAUGCCGCGUGAGUGAUGAAGGCCUUAGGGUUGUAAAGCUCUUUUACCCGGGAUGAUAAUGACAGUACCGGGAGAAUAAGCUCCGGCUAACUCCGUG